GACGAACGCUGGCGGCGUGCUUAACACAUGCAAGUCGAACGGUGAAGCGCCUUCCUUUUUGGUGGGUGUGGAUGAGUGGCGAACGGGUGAGUAACACGUGAGUAACCUGCCCCCUUCUUCUGGAUAACCGCAUGAAAGUGUGGCUAAUACGGGAUAUUCUGGGUCUGUCGCAUGUUGUGUCUGGGAAAGAUUUUGUUUCGGUGGGUGAUGGGCUCGCGGCCUAUCAGCUUGUUGUUGGGGUGAUGGCCUACCAAGGCGGUGAGGGGUAGCCGGCCUGAGAGGGUGGACGGUAACAGUGGGGAUGAGACAAGGACAAGACUCAGACGGGAGGCAGCAGUGGGGAAUAUUGCACAAUGGGAGAAAGCCUGAUGCAGCGACGCCGCGUGAGGGAGGGAGGCCUGAGGGUUGUGAACCUCUUUCGCGAGUGAAGAAGGCCUGAAUAGUUUGUGGGUGGGUUGACGGUAGCUGGAGAAGAAGCGACGGCUAACUACGUG
RNAcentral lists this ribosomal RNA (494 nucleotides) under uncultured bacterium. RNAcentral describes it as "partial 16S ribosomal RNA". It matches the Rfam family "Bacterial small subunit ribosomal RNA", at positions 28 to 507 of the family's 1533-position model. The record is from RNAcentral.